This 429-nucleotide ribosomal RNA is filed under the name Xerocrassa latastei. RNAcentral describes it as "partial 16S ribosomal RNA". It matches the Rfam family "Archaeal large subunit ribosomal RNA", at positions 1920 to 2667 of the family's 2987-position model. Lineage: Eukaryota; Metazoa; Mollusca; Gastropoda; Stylommatophora; Geomitridae. The record is from RNAcentral.
AGCUAGAUGCAUUUAUAUUUGGUAAUUUCUGCUCAAUGGUUGAUCUAAAUAGCCGCAGUACCCUGACUGUGCAAAGGUAGCAUAAUCAAUUGGCUUAUAAUUGAAGUCUGGCAUGAAGGAAUCCAUGGGUAAACGCUGUCUCUUAAGGUAUAGUUGAAAUUACUUAGUAAGUGCAAAUACUUACAGGAAAUAAAAGACGAGAAGACCCUAGAAAUUUUUUUUAAAGAAUAUGUAUCUAUCAAAUUUUGUUGGGGCGACAGAAUAACAUUAAACUUAUUUUUAAAAAAUGUGAACUUAAUGGUGAGGUAAAUUAAAUUACUCUAGGGAUAACAGCAUAAUUUAGUGUAAGUUUGUGACCUCGAUGUUGGACUAGGAAUUUUACUAACCAGAAGUUACUAAAUCAAGCUCUGUUCGAGCCCUUAUUCCUAC